Long non-coding RNA from Mustela lutreola (European mink), 1898 nucleotides. RefSeq lists it as uncharacterized. The record is from RefSeq and is a predicted model, not a curated record. The transcript is spliced from 3 exons. NCBI's taxonomy places the organism in Eukaryota, Metazoa, Chordata, Mammalia, Carnivora, Mustelidae.
CAGGAAGAUUAGCGAUGGGUCCACCACGACUUCCCCGCUGCGGGCUGUGACCCUGGCCGUGAUCGUGACUAGCAUGAGACCAUCCUCACAGACCCGGAACACCAGUGUAAGGUCAAGACGAACAUCAGACAGAUCGUAAACGAGGGUCGUUUUACAACAUACCUAAACGGUACUUAUCCAAACUGUCAUUGUCAUCAAGAACAAAGUCUGAGAAACCGUGAUAGCCAAGAGAGAUCUAAGAAGACUCAUAAUGCGGGACUCGAUCCCGGGACUCCAGGAUCAUGACCUGAGCCGAAGGCAGUUGUCCAACCAACUGAGCCACCCGGGCGUCCCGAGAAGACUCAUAAUCUCCCAAUGGGCGCUGCUGUGUGCCCGCUGCUGUGGGCCUGCUCCCUGGGCACCUGCUGGCUUCCCGGAGUCACCAUCUUUGGAUUCUGGGGACUUUGGGAAUGCUGGAUUCGAAGACAUGAGCUCUCCUGGGGCCCCUUUCGGUCCCAGUCCACCCCUCACUGUCUCGCCCAGCUGUGAGCUCCCCGCGGGCAGGGACCCUGUCCUCUCUCCGUGCCAGAGUUGGCACUGAGGGUAUCCAUUAAACGAACUGUCAUGAAGUGAAUGUCCCUGAGCUCACAGCCAUAGGAUGGGACUCUGUCAUCAGAUCACUUAGUGAGAAAGCAUCACCCUUGUCAGCCCUGUGCCGGCCUUUCUCUGACAGCAAGGAGAACGCCUUAGGCCAGAGAGAGGACAUCUGAACACCCUCCCGCCCUUGCCCAUCCCCACGUGGAACCAAGAACGGGCAGGUCUAGGCUCACACUCAACCGACUAAUGGACCUAUAGCAAGAGCAGCCGCCGGCUUUGAAAGGACUUACCUUUGAUUUGUAGCAAGUGGUACUGGUUUUCCCCUUAGAACAACAACAUCAUGUUUCCUUUAAAUGUGCGCCUGCUCCUUGGGUUCCCUUUACAUGUGUUUUAAAUUUUAAAACAAUCUCAGACUUAGAGAAAAGUUGUAAGAAUGAAAUAAAGAAUCCCCGGAUACCGGUCAUUUCUGGCUAUCCUCCAGGGUUACUCUUUUACUACCUUAUCUCCCCCUCCUCCGGCACAGGCCCCUCUCCCCACAUAGAGAUCACUUUUGUUCUGAAUCAAUUAAAUGGAGGUUGUCCCUUUACUCCUAAAUCCGUCAAUACUUCCGUGUGCAUUUCCUAAAAGCCAGAAUAUUUUCAUGCAUAAUUACAGCUCACAUACAAAAUCAGGGAGUUAACACGGAUACCACGCUAUCUAAUCUGCAGACCUCAUUUGCAUCUCACCAUCGGCCCCUGUGAUGUCCUUUACAGUAAAAGGAAACCCCAGAUCACAUCUCGCAUUCAGUUGUCAGAUCUCCUUAGCUUCUUUGGUCUGAAAUAACUCCCGGAUCUUUGUAGUUUGGGAUAUUAGCAUUUUUUGAAAAGCACAUACCUGAUAUUUUGUAAGAUGGCUAAAUAUUUCUUUUACAAUAUGCUUAAGUUAAAAAAAAUAUAUGAAUCCAUCUAUAGAAAAACUACAGGCACACCUAGGAUAUAUCGUAGGUUAAAUCCAGACCACUGCCAUAAGGUGAAUCUUGAAAUAAAGAGAGUCCAGUGAGCUUUUCGGUAUCCUAGUAUAUGUAAAAGUUACGUUUGUGUUACUCUGUGGUCAAUUAAGUGUGCCUCAGAAUGAUGUCUAAAAAAAAAAGUGUAUAUAUACCUGAAAGUAUCACCCUAAAAUGCUGACCAUCAUCUGAGCUUUCAAUGAGUCAUCAUUGCUGCCCGUGGAGGGUCUUGCCUCCAUGUUGGUGGCCGCCGAUGGGCCGGGGUGGUGGGCGCUGAAAGCUGGGGUGCCUCUGGCAAGUUCUUAAAAUGAGACAACAAUAAAGUUUGCUGCAUUGA